RNAcentral lists this ribosomal RNA (475 nucleotides) under Geobacillus stearothermophilus. Its description in RNAcentral is "bacterial SSU rRNA". It matches the Rfam family "Bacterial small subunit ribosomal RNA", at positions 180 to 640 of the family's 1533-position model. The record is from RNAcentral. Lineage: Bacteria; Bacillati; Bacillota; Bacilli; Caryophanales; Anoxybacillaceae.
UCUGAACCGCAUGGUUCAGACAUAAAAGGUGGCUUCGGCUACCACUUACAGAUGGACCCGCGGCGCAUUAGCUAGUUGGUGAGGUAACGGCUCACCAAGGCAACGAUGCGUAGCCGACCUGAGAGGGUGAUCGGCCACACUGGGACUGAGACACGGCCCAGACUCCUACGGGAGGCAGCAGUAGGGAAUCUUCCGCAAUGGACGAAAGUCUGACGGAGCAACGCCGCGUGAGUGAUGAAGGUUUUCGGAUCGUAAAGCUCUGUUGUUAGGGAAGAACAAGUGCCGUUCAAAUAGGGCGGCACCUUGACGGUACCUAACCAGAAAGCCACGGCUAACUACGUGCCAGCAGCCGCGGUAAUACGUAGGUGGCAAGCGUUGUCCGGAAUUAUUGGGCGUAAAGGGCUCGCAGGCGGUUUCUUAAGUCUGAUGUGAAAGCCCCCGGCUCAACCGGGGAGGGUCAUUGGAAACUGGGGAA